UGCUGAAUGGUGUAGUGGUUUGAAUGUCAGACUAUGACUCUGGAAAACAGGGUUCAAUUCCCUGCUUGGCCA
This 72-nucleotide transfer RNA is filed under the name Phrynosoma platyrhinos (Desert horned lizard). RNAcentral's name for it is "tRNA-OTHER". The stretch from base 9 to 72 matches the Rfam family "tRNA". From Rfam's summary of the family: Transfer RNA (tRNA) molecules are approximately 80 nucleotides in length. Their secondary structure includes four short double-helical elements and three loops (D, anti-codon, and T loops). Lineage: Eukaryota; Metazoa; Chordata; Lepidosauria; Squamata; Phrynosomatidae. The record is from RNAcentral.